This 93-nucleotide small RNA is filed under the name Atlantibacter hermannii. Its description in RNAcentral is "partial RtT sRNA". It matches the Rfam family "RtT RNA", at positions 1 to 91 of the family's 130-position model. Rfam says of the family: This family represents a bacterial cis-regulatory element known as RtT RNA. The exact function of RtT is unknown although it is thought that it may be involved in changing the cellular response in relation to amino acid starvation. The record is from RNAcentral. Lineage: Bacteria; Pseudomonadati; Pseudomonadota; Gammaproteobacteria; Enterobacterales; Enterobacteriaceae.
UACUUCACCGAACGGGGAAGGAUGAGAAGCUUCGACUAAGGUUCGAUUCGAGCGCCAGCGAGAAAGCGUUGCCGCAGGCAACGACCCGAAGGG